RNAcentral lists this ribosomal RNA (785 nucleotides) under Yemma signatus. RNAcentral describes it as "bacterial SSU rRNA". It matches the Rfam family "Eukaryotic small subunit ribosomal RNA", at positions 284 to 978 of the family's 1831-position model. The record is from RNAcentral. Lineage: Eukaryota; Metazoa; Arthropoda; Insecta; Hemiptera; Berytidae.
CCGGUGACGUAUCCUUCAAAUGUCUGACUUAUCAGCUGUCGAUGGUAGACUCUGCGCCUACCAUGGCCCUCACGGGUGACGGGGAAUCAGGGUUCGAUUCCGGAGAGGGAGCCUGAGAAGCGGCUACCACAUCCAAGGAAGGCAGCAGGCACGCAAAUUACCCACUCCCAGCACGGGGAGGUAGUGACAAAAAAUAACGAUACGGGACUCAUCCGAGGCCCCGUAAUCGGAAUGAGAACACUUUAAAUCCUUUAACGAGGAUCAAUUGGAGGGCAAGUCUGGUGCCAGCAGCCGCGGUAACUCCAGCUCCAAUAGCGUAUAUUAAAGUUGUUGCGGUUAAAAAGCUCGUAGUUGGUUCUGCGUGCCACGCUGUCGGUUCACCGCCUGCCGGUGCAACUGGCAUGCCGUGGAAUGUCCUGCCGGUGGUGGGCAGGUCUGGCGGCGCGCCCCAUGCGGUAUACCAGCGUGUGGGUGCCCGCGCCGCUCUGGCCCCGCCCACCGUCCAAAUCCUACCGCGGUGCUCUUCACCGAGUGUCGAGGUAGGCCGGCACUGUUUACUUUGAACAAAUUAGAGUGCUCAAAGCAGGCUCUUUAAUCAGCCUGAAUAGUGGUGCAUGGAAUAAUGGAAGAGGACCUUGGUUCUAUUUUGUUGGUUUCCGGAAUCCAAGGUAAUGAUCAAUAAGGACAGGCGGGGGCAUUCAUAUUGCGGCGUUAGAGGUGAAAUUCUUGGAUCGUCGCAAGACGCACUAAAGCGAAAGCAUUUGCCAAGUAUGUCUUAAUUGAUC